GAAGUGAUAGUUUAAGUUAAAACACCAAGUUGCAAUCUUGGAGUUGGUGGUACCUCACUUUUC
RNAcentral lists this transfer RNA (63 nucleotides) under Dermatobranchus otome. RNAcentral describes it as "tRNA-Cys". It matches the Rfam family "tRNA". Rfam says of the family: Transfer RNA (tRNA) molecules are approximately 80 nucleotides in length. Lineage: Eukaryota; Metazoa; Mollusca; Gastropoda; Nudibranchia; Arminidae. The record is from RNAcentral.